CUACAUUGCAAAAAACAAACAAACAAACAAACAACAAGAAAAUGUGCAGCACAGUGUUGUUUCCCCAUGUUUCUUGUGUUUCCUGUUAUUGGCUACACAACUGCACAUGCUGCUUGACAAUACGAUGCAUAUAUAAUAAGUGAAUUGUAUGCAUUUGCAUAUCCUCUUGCACAAAUUACACACACAUAUGCAUGUAUACAGAAAACUUUCCUGGACACAGGGUUGCAGAUCACAUGCACACCUAAGGAGCAAGGGAAGGACAGGAAAAGUGACUUCCUGUUUCUAACGAAUUGUAGAUUGAGUAUUCUGCAUAUGUCAAAGGUGUGAGGAACAAGAAAUGACAUUCAGAUGAAAAGGGAUGCUGUCUUUAGGGGGUCUUUUGAAAUUUUGCUGCAUCUUUCAUCUUUUUCACUUUUCCUAUUGUUAACUUUACCAACUAUCAAGCAUGCUAAUUUGCCUGAUUUGAGGUCAGAGAGAAAUGUGAAUGGAUUUCCAACUUCCCUUAGAGCACACAGGAAGGGCCAUCUGUUAGAACUCACUGGGUGUGUCAAUCCCUUUUGACUCAUCUUCCCUGACAACAGGGUGGAAGAGUAACUGGCCGACCACAGAGUUCUCGCUAUUCACAGUAAGAAAUACACUUUCCCUCUGAGAAGUCCAUCAGUUAAUAUUAACAAGGAGAAAGAAAAGAAAUAACUUGGCAGGAGGCUCUGAAUCUCCCCCUGACUCUGUUUCAAGACAUGAACAAGGAUAGUGUCCAGCUGUAAAGGAUACCUCUCUUCCUCUGAUGAGAGUGACAACCAGGAAACUGAAAUCAGGGGGCACCUGCUCUCCCUGACCAACACCCACCCACUCUGGUUCUCCUGGGCUACGCUAGUCAUAACCAGUAGCACUACUCACACAUGUGUGUAUCUGUUGCACAUUGUGAACUAAUCCACUUUCUACUCCAUGAAGAAAUCAGAAGCAGUGACAAUAGAUACCAAGCCAACCCCAAAUCUCCCAAGUAUACUCAGAACAAACAACUAUUCGAAUGCUGUACAAUGGACACAGGAAGCUGGUGUAUUCAGUAUCUAAGGAGAUUUCUCUUUCUUUCUAUUUUUCCUUUUUUCCCCACAGUGGAAGCUAGAACUUUAUUACAAAACCACAGAUAAGUAUAUCAACUGUUAGGAUGCUGGCCCAGCAGAACACAAGGAAAUAAGAGAUAAGGGAAUUUGGUCACAUACAAAAAGUGUUGUGGGAUUUAAAGCGAAUGACAGCAGAUAAGCCUUUUUCUGAGUUUCUAUUAAAAAUGUACUAAAUAAGAAAUCCAAAAACAUCCUUUCUAGGCCAGCACUUUUGUUCCUAUAUUGCUCAUCGUAAAUGUAUAGACUCUUCACCAAGGAAGUGAUUCUACUCACAGUCGCAGAAAAUACACUUCGCUGGAGUCAUGUUAAAGACACAACAACUUCAGACUGAUGCCCUGCGAGUUUUUGAUUAAAGUUCAGCAUUUGAAUAAAUAGACUUUAUUUAUACA
Molecule: long non-coding RNA, 1510 nt
Filed under: Oryctolagus cuniculus (rabbit)
Lineage: Eukaryota; Metazoa; Chordata; Mammalia; Lagomorpha; Leporidae
Description: lncRNA (ENSOCUG00000034796.1)
Source: RNAcentral